RNAcentral lists this ribosomal RNA (445 nucleotides) under uncultured bacterium. RNAcentral's name for it is "partial 16S ribosomal RNA". It matches the Rfam family "Bacterial small subunit ribosomal RNA", at positions 354 to 796 of the family's 1533-position model. The record is from RNAcentral.
GUGAGGAAUAUUGCGCAAUGGAGGCAACUCUGACGCAGCCAUGCCGCGUGCAGGAAGAAGGCGCUACGCGUUGUAAACUGCUUUUAACCGGGAAGAAACCCCAGGACGUGUCCUGGGUUGACGGUACCGGAGGAAUAAGCACCGGCUAACUUCGUGCCAGCAGCCGCGGUAAUACGAAGGGUGCAAGCGUUAUCCGGAUUCAUUGGGUUUAAAGGGUGCGUAGGCGGAGCGUUAAGUCAGUGGUGACAUCCUGCAGCUUAACUGUAGACUUGCCAUUGAUACUGGCGCUCUUGAGUGCGCUUGAAGUGGGCGGAAUGUGCCGUGUAGCGGUGAAAUGCUUAGAUAUGGCACAGAACACCAAUUGCGAAGGCAGCUCACUAAGGCGAUACUGACGCUGAGGUACGAAAGCGUGGGGAUCGAACAGGAUUAGAAACCCCAGUAGUCC